AGACUUCGCUCAUUUACUUCAUACAGACAGGGAUUUCUAUGUGUCUGUGUGGUAGAUUUAUGAUGACCAUGUGCACAUUGGUGAUUAUUCUGUAGGGAUGUGACCCUUUAAGAUAACUACUCAUGUACAAAAUGGCUUAUGCUAGAGGCCAAAAUUAUCAGAAGCAGUAUGCAAUGAACCACAGGCAUGUAGACAUCAUCUGCUUAGCCAAGCACUUACUAAAUGCAGACACAUGUACAACUUCAGAGUUCAUGCAGAACUAAGUCUAAUCCACCCACAGAAUCCCCGGUAUUAAUAAUGGCAGUUUAAGCAAUCCUAUGAUUUUUCUUUGUAAUUAUUCAUUACUUUGUUUGUUUUUCUAUCAUUGUUCACAAAAGCUCAAUUCUCGAAUAGGACAAAUAUAACCAUGUAUAUUUCAAAACAGUGAAACUUCUGUUCAUGAUCAUUAUGACUGGAAAAUAAAUACUGAACUAAAAGCCAUCUUCACAUCACAGAAAAUAUUCUUGAUGGUAAAUAUUUAAUCACAUAGAUGCCACUUUUAGUUGAAAGUAGUGCCAAAGGUGUUGUGAGUAAUUGAUACUACAAUCUACAUAUUCUGUCCACUAUGAUAAAACAUUAAAUUUGAAUAACAUGCUUCCUUUUGUACAAAUAAAAGAAACAAAAUGUGUGAAUGACAGAGUUGACCUGCUGUAAAUGUCACUACUUGUCCCAGAUUAGUACAUCAAUUUUUUAUUUCAUAGUCAGUUCUAUUUGGGAAAUCUUUCCCUUUUACUAAAAAGUUCACAAUUUUUGCUUAAGAUAAUAAGAAAUUUAUUAAUCUUGUUUUCAACGAUGGUAAGAAAGAAAUAUGUUUUCUUUUAUAAUGUUUGUAAGAUGAAGUCCCUUGUCAAUAUUGAUAAUUUUAUACAGAACACAAUGGGAUAUCUUUACAAGAUGAUGCAUAAUAUUUUUACAUAAAUAGAAAAAAAUAGUAGUUUUGUGAUUUAGGCUCAAUGAAUUCUAUUAUCUUCAUAGUUUUGAAGAUAACAGAUUGAACUCAAUUAAACUCAAAGUUGUUUAAUGCUAACUAUUGUUAAUGAAACAUCUUUGACCUUAUUGUAGACUGAUGCAAGUUGCAGUAUAUGAGUAUUUGAGAAAGUGUCUUGGGUCGUUUUGCCAACAAGGCUGAUUUUUGUGAUUUACUCUUACACUACAAAAUCAGAAACCAAUUCACAGAUAUAAGCAAAUGGUUGCUUUUAAUGCCCAUCUUGCUAACUGUAUAGAGUUUGUAAAUGUAAAGUCCAAAGCAGAGAGGCUAGCUACGGGAUUAUACUUCACCACUACCUCCUCACCCACUUCAUUAUUAAAAGAGAUUGUGUUCUUAAUUAUAAUCUGGUGAUAUUUAUGGAAUGUUCUCUGAUAUAUAAAAAUCAAAACAAACAAAAGAACAACAAC
RNAcentral lists this long non-coding RNA (1434 nucleotides) under Mus musculus (house mouse). RNAcentral describes it as "long non-coding RNA chr15:22882397-22883831". Lineage: Eukaryota; Metazoa; Chordata; Mammalia; Rodentia; Muridae. The record is from RNAcentral.